RNAcentral lists this microRNA precursor (98 nucleotides) under Prunus dulcis (almond). RNAcentral describes it as "sRNA ncRNA". The record is from RNAcentral. Lineage: Eukaryota; Viridiplantae; Streptophyta; Magnoliopsida; Rosales; Rosaceae.
GGGAGGGGGGAGUAGCAAAAGUGAAAACAAUUUGAAAUAGAUUUCAGUUUUCAGUUUUUGUUUUCACUUUUGUUACUCAUCCCUACCAUCCUCCUCUC